AUCCAUCUGACGAGUCUCAAAUAGAACGAAACGCGCAUCCUGGAU
Molecule: non-coding RNA, 45 nt
Filed under: Schistosoma mansoni
Lineage: Eukaryota; Metazoa; Platyhelminthes; Trematoda; Strigeidida; Schistosomatidae
Source: RNAcentral